UGGGGAAUUUUGGACAAUGGGGGAAACCCUGAUCCAGCCAUCCCGCGUGUGCGAUGAAGGCCUUCGGGUUGUAAAGCACUUUUGGCAGGAAAGAAACGUCAUGGGUUAAUACCCCGUGAAACUGACGGUACCUGCAGAAUAAGCACCGGCUAACUACGUGCCAGCAGCCGCGGUAAUACGUAGGGUGCAAGCGUUAAUCGGAAUUACUGGGCGUAAAGCGUGCGCAGGCGGUUCGGAAAGAAAGAUGUGAAAUCCCAGAGCUCAACUUUGGAACUGCAUUUUUAACUACCGGGCUAGGGUGUGUCAGAGGGAGGUGGAAUUCCGCGUGUAGCAGUGAAAUGCGUAGAUAUGCGGAGGAACACCGAUGGCGAAGGCAGCCUCCUGGGAUAACACUGACGCUCAUGCACGAAAGCGUGGGGAGCGAACAGG
Molecule: ribosomal RNA, 429 nt
Filed under: Acidobacteriota bacterium
Lineage: Bacteria; Pseudomonadati; Acidobacteriota
Description: Acidobacteria bacterium partial 16S ribosomal RNA
Rfam family: Bacterial small subunit ribosomal RNA
Source: RNAcentral